This 192-nucleotide non-coding RNA is filed under the name Terriglobia bacterium. RNAcentral's name for it is "6S RNA". It matches the Rfam family "6S / SsrS RNA". Rfam says of the family: E. coli 6S RNA was the first non coding RNA to be sequenced, but its function was unknown until recently. The record is from RNAcentral. Lineage: Bacteria; Pseudomonadati; Acidobacteriota; Terriglobia.
GAUGGCCUGCGAAGCAGGUGACGUUGCGAAAGCCUUUUGAACCAACACUGGAUCCCAGGGAGUCCGCGUCGUCCUGCCCUUGUGCACGUCCCGCUCCGGCUUGCCGGUGUGGGAAAGCCUGAAAGCAGGCGCGGGGCACCCACCUAUUCGUGGGGUUCAGGGCCUAGCAGCGCACGGCCAAGUGGACCGCUC